Long non-coding RNA from Tarenaya hassleriana, 2540 nucleotides. RefSeq lists it as uncharacterized. The record is from RefSeq and is a predicted model, not a curated record. The transcript is spliced from 4 exons. Lineage: Eukaryota; Viridiplantae; Streptophyta; Magnoliopsida; Brassicales; Cleomaceae.
UCUUCGGCGUGUCUCAGAUCCGACAUCUACGUUUCCUUCGUUUUUUCUCCAUCAACUUCUUCUGUCGUUCUCUCUCUUCCGCUCGCAAUCUGGUCUUGUAUUCUUCUUUUCCAGGCACUACGAAGCUUUAUAUUCCUGGUCUACAUAACAAGUUUCUGAAUGACUAUGGUAUAUUCUACUCCUCCCACAACCCGCCUGCGUCUUUCUGCCUGUGAUUCUUGUUCGCUUUUUUUCCCUUUUUUCCCCUCGCCCGAUUCGGCGUUUCUGGUUAAAUACAUUGGGACAAGUUUCGGAAUUGAACAAAUAUGUAGCAUUUGUAUUUGUCCAAGUCACUGUGUCCCAAAUCAAAGUGGCUGAUGAACAGUCUUCUCCUGUGAGGAAGGAAGGAGGCUACUGUCAGCCUCACAUUUUACAUUUGUUUCCUUUUCCAUAAGAUAAUUUCCUUAGCCCGAAGCAGCUCUUGUGAUGCAAUGAUUGGCUGCUCUAGUUUCACCAUAUCUUCUCCAGCUGUGGCUCCCAAGGAAAAUCCUGUAGUUCGUGUGCUUUUGAAAUUCUCUUGAUUUCUUGACAGUUCGUUUCUAUAGGUUGCCGGCGACACACUAGGGGAAGGAUAUAGGGAAUGCCAAUUUGAAUCCGCUUACAGUUUGUGUUGCCUAUAUAUUUUCCUGAUGUAUCCCUUGAAUCAAAUUUGAUCAAUCCAUGGUAUUCUGAGCCUUGGUAUACAUGCUUUGAUGCUCCAUCAAAUUUCUUGUUGGAUACUAUUUCGUGUUUUGCCCAUGUCAACAUAGAACUUUGCUUAUGAAUAGUAGUGGCUUUUGUUCCUUUGUAUCUUCUAAUAUGUAAAAUGAUGUGUUGCGAGUUUCCUUUUCAGUUUCGGGUUCGUUCAGAGGCUGGUUGAGCCAUACUGUAGACAAGUUUUUUAAGGAGUAUCAUUGAUCUACUGGUGUUGCGUCUCCUAUAUUAAACCUUGAGAUGGUCCUUGGUACCAUUGAUGAUUGCGGUGCGGCAGAAGUUUUGGCAAGUGGAAGAGGAUGCUGCUGCCAUUGGAAAAAUUUCAUUUUCAGAGAUCUACAAUUAUGAGACUAGUUUUGGAACCUGUCCCAUAAAUUAUUAACCACUCUUUGUGCUGAUAGGAGAAUAGAAAAAGUAUAGGAAGUGUAUCUUCACUGUCAUGUCAGCUUUAGACUAGUUACUAGGCCUUAAGGAGGUCUCCUGAAUUUCGUAUUUGUGGAUGCAUGCAUGUUCACCUCCUUAACUUGUUGAAGAUACUUUAUAAUACAAGACCGGCCAAGGAACUUUGAUGGAUGGAUAUAAUACAUCAAAUGUGGAUAUCCUUUCUUAGUUGUUUAAUAUCCGGUACUAAUUUUUCCUUGAAGUUUCAGAUCUUUUGAUAAUAGACUGGUUUGAGAUGGAGAAAGGAAAAGGAAGUAAUUUGGGAAAAGUUCUUCUGUGGGAACAAACGUUGUGGUGAAAAGGAUGGAUUAUAGCAAGCUUUGAGGCCCUUUCUCACUGAUAACACGCAAUUUACCAUACGAUUUCAUAUCAGAUGUCCUUUGUUUUCACCGUAAGACCAUUGAAUUUGAUUUCUUCAUCUGUAUCCAUAUUUAUCAUUCCUCGGCUUAUCAGAGGUGUACCUCAAUACAGGGAACUUUGGUAUACAGUUUUUUGCUCUUUUAACUGUCAAACUCAGCUAGGAUCUGUGUCUUUAUUGUAGUACUGGUGAUUUUGUGUGAAGUGGUGCAGGUGGAAUCUUCCUAUUAUGAAGCUGGAGGAUACAAACAAACCCUUUGUAAAAAAUCAUGGCUUGUGAGAGAGGUAGGCGUUCAAAGCAAAAACCGUAUGUCUGUGUUUUCUAAAUAUGGGAAUUCUGGAUAUCUACGAGGGCUUCCCGCUAUUGUCAUAACCUGCGGUGUCUGGUGGGAUAUUUUUUCACAUGUGGGGUAUCACUUACUUGAUCUCAAGUUGACAGCACCCUUUUUCCAUAAAAGAAUAGAAGAGCGUGAAAGAUCAGAGAGGAAAGUGAAGCAUGAUCAUAGGAGUGUAUGUCCGGCCACUGUUAAGUUAGAGACGGGGCAAUGAAGGUGAAACAGACGCUGAGAAGAAAGGCGACAAGCUUUGGAAAUUGCUGGAGUUAUUCUGCUUCAUCUUGGAAAUGCAGGAUUCGACUCUCAAUUGUUGCCUCGCUGCCAUAGGCAAAAAGAAGAAAGAAGCAAUACAGUAGAAGGUAUCAACCUUGUUCGUUUAUAAGCGGCAACACAAACGAUGUAUGUGGCAGAGCUGUGUUUGGUUUAGAACGGGGAUACGGACAACAGAUGCAUGACUCUCGGAGACUUGGUAUUUUGUUCAGCUACGAAGCAUAAGAGCCAGCAGCUUGUUCUUGGAGUUGUUCCUGUUCACGCAAACCCCUUUUGUUAGAGACGGAUAUGUCAAAGCAUCAUGUAAAUGACUGCGCAAAUGAAUUACCCUGUACGUUCGUCAUGGACAAAGAAAAUCAGAUAGCCUCCAUCCUCCUCGGCUGUACAGCCAGUCUCUUGUGGGAC